Molecule: long non-coding RNA, 1513 nt
Organism: Acinonyx jubatus (cheetah)
Lineage: Eukaryota; Metazoa; Chordata; Mammalia; Carnivora; Felidae
Exons: 2
Source: RefSeq, a predicted model, not a curated record
GCCUGGCAGAUAAUCUCAGUUGGGCAUGGUUUCAUCUGGGAAGGCCACAGAGACGUCUUCCGCUGUGAUGCUGUCCACAAUGGAGGUGAGAGAGUGCAGGUUGUGGGCGUCCGUGGGGUCAGCCGUGAGCAGGUGAUCUGUAAGGAGAAGGGGGGAGGAUGUCACCUGUGUGAUAAAGGGGGUUUCAAGACCCAGGACAGGGAACAAGGUCUUUGGGGGUGGCACAGGUUUCCCAGGACAGAUGAGUGCGCAAAACUCAAGAAUCCUACCCGCUAGCCCAUGCCUUUCUCAGUGCCAAGCAUAUGUGUGUGUGUGCGUGUGUGUGUGCACGCGUGUGCAUGUGUGUGUGAACACUGAACGCAUGUGCCUUCUCUCUGAGCUCCCCUAGUGGGGUUAGGAUUUGAAAGCAGCUACUCUGAGACGGAGCCAGGACGGUGUAUCCUGGGAGACUGGAACUGUCCUUUGCUGGCCCAGUUUUGCAGCACUGACUCGGCAAUUCCCAGGGACCCCUGGGGCAGGGACAUUCCCCUCUCCGUGGAGAAGGUCAGGCACCAGGCUUUGGUCGGGGAGCUGCAGGAGGCCUAGACCACUCCUUAGCUGGUCAAGGUCUCAGGGAGGCACAGGGCCUCGCUGCCCAGCAUUUGGAAUCCCGGGUUCAGCAGUGCCCUGGAGAAGCCAAAGGCAAGAGGACUGGAGCAAGAAGCAAGAUGUUUCGUUCCCUCGGGUGGACGGCCGACUCUCUGAGGGGGGCUCAUUGUGACGUGUUCCAAAGAACCCUGGACUGGGAAUCGGAGGCCUGAGCUCAUGUUUCAGUUCUAGGCUUUGGUGGCCCCAGGCCUCCCUCUGAGCCUCUGCGUUUUGACCCGUUAAAGGGGGUCAUAAUAGCUUCUGCACUGGGCAGGCUGCCAACACCUGGGGUAGACGUGACGAAGGCCCAGACACGUGGUUCUACCCCUUCUUCUGUCUGCGUCUACCUGAAACAAGUGAAAACGUAUGUUCACGCAAAAACUCGUACACGAAUUUCACAGCGGGAUUAUUUACCAUAGUCUCAAAGUAGAAACGACCCCUAUGUCCAUCAACUGAUGAAUGGAUAAACAAAAUGUGGUGUAGACACGUGAUGGAAUAUUAUUCGGUCCUCAAAAGGAACGAAGCGCUGGCACCUGCACAGUAUAGAUGGACUUUGACAACAUUAUGCUAAGGGAAAGAAGCCAGUCACAAAGGACCACGUAGGAUCCGGUUUCACUUACACGAGGGGGCCAGAACAGCAAGAUCCACAGACACAGCAAGUAUAUUAGUAACUGCCUGGGUCUGUGUAGGAGUGGGUAGGGGUAGGGAAGUGACUGCUAAUGGGUGCAAGGUUUUUUUGGAGGGCGAUGAGAAUGUUCUAAGAUUAAAUUAUGGUGACGGUUGCACAAUUCCGUAAUUAUACUGAAAAAAAAAUCACUGAGUUGUACACUUCAAACGGGUGAACUUUAUGGUAUGUAAAUUACAUAUCAACAGAGCUGUUAAGAAA